GUGCAGCAGUCGCGAAAACUCUGCAAUACGCGAAAGCGUGACAGGGCUACCCCGAGUGUCGUCCGCUGAGGACGACUUUUCCACGCUGUAAGGAGGCGUGGGAAUAAGGGGAGGGCAAGUCUGGUGUCAGCCGCCGCGGUAAUACCAGCUCCCCGAGUGGUUGGGACGAUUAUUGGGUCUGAAGCGCCCGUAGCUGGCCUUUCAAGUCUCUUGUUAAAUCCAGCGAUUCAAUCGUUGGACUGCGGGAGAUACUGUUAGGCUAGGGGGCGGGAGAAGCCGACGGUAUUUCCGGGGUAGGGGUAAAAUCCUAUAAUCCCGGGAAGACCACCAGUGGCGUAGGCGGUCGGCUAGCACGCGCUCGACAGUGAGGGACGAAAGCUGGGGUAGCGAACCGGAUUAGAUACCCGUGUAGUCC
RNAcentral lists this ribosomal RNA (415 nucleotides) under uncultured crenarchaeote. RNAcentral's name for it is "partial 16S ribosomal RNA". It matches the Rfam family "Archaeal small subunit ribosomal RNA", at positions 330 to 747 of the family's 1478-position model. Lineage: Archaea; Thermoproteati; Thermoproteota. The record is from RNAcentral.